GACGAACGCUGGCGGCGUGCUUAACACAUGCAAGUCGAACGAAGAGCGAUGGAAGCUUGCUUAUCUCAAUCUUAGUGGCGAACGGGUGAGUAACGCGUAAUCAACCUGCCCUUAAGAGGGGGACAACAGUUGGAAACGACUGCUAAUACCGCAUACGAUCUAAACUCGGCAUCGAGGAUAGAUGAAAGGUGGCCUCUACAUGUAAGCUAUCACUGAAGGAGGGGAUUGCGUCUGAUUAGCUAGUUGGAGGGGUAACGGCCCACCAAGGCGAUGAUCAGUAGCCGGUCUGAGGGGAUGAAAGGCCACAUCGGGACUGAGACACGGCCCAGACUCCUACGGGAGGCAGCAGUGGGGAAGCUUCCGCAAUGGACGAAAGUCUGACGGAGCAACGCCGCGUGAGUGAUGACGGCCUUCGGGUUGUAAAGCUCUGUUAAUCGGGACGAAAGGCCUUCUUGCGAAUAGGGAGAAGGAUUGACGGUACCGGAAUAGAAAGCCACGGCUAACUACGUG
Molecule: ribosomal RNA, 510 nt
Filed under: uncultured bacterium
Lineage: Bacteria
Description: partial 16S ribosomal RNA
Rfam family: Bacterial small subunit ribosomal RNA
Source: RNAcentral